AGGUUAGGAUUUUAAACAAGAAGAUCGAUUUUAGCGAUAUUCAGUCCCGGUGUGGUUCCAGAGAUAACAUCAAACAUUCUGCAGGGGGAGGAAAUGUACAAAUCGUAACCAAGAAGAUCGACUUGAGUCAUGUAACUUCCAAGUGUGGCUCGCUCAAGAAUAUCCACCACAAACCAGGAGGUGGGCGUGUGAAAAUUGAGAGCGUGAAACUGGAUUUCAAAGAAAAAGCUCAGGCUAAAGUUGGUUCACUGGAAAAUGCCCACCAUGUACCUGGUGGUGGUAAUGUCAAGAUUGACAGCCAGAAGCUAAACUUCAGAGAGCAUGCUAAAGCCCGUGUGGAUCACGGGGCUGAGAUCAUCACGCAGUCACCAGGCAGGUCCAGCGUGGCUUCGCCGCGCAGACUCAGCAACGUCUCGUCCUCUGGAAGCAUCAACCUGCUUGAAUCGCCCCAGCUUGCUACCCUCGCUGAAGAUGUCACGGCAGCCCUCGCUAAGCAGGGCUUAUGAAUUUGCUCAUUUUGCGUUGUAUGAAGUAAUAAUAUUUAGGCAUGAGCUCUUGGCAGGAAUGGGCUCAGAGCAGGUGUUACAUUCAUUCUUUACCACGUUUAAAACAAAGUCAUAUCCCAAGACUUAUAGUUACCGUACAGUUAAAAAAAUUAAAAAAAAAAAAACAGAAAAAAAAAAAAAGUAAAUAGAUGCAGAAAUUGGCCUGAUCUCCAUUUAAAAUAGGAAGACACUGGCUUUGUAUGGGUAUACAACUGCAGUAUGUUACAUUGGACAAUUAUUGUUGCUCUGCUCUGUCUUGCAUGGAGUACCGUACUAUGAUAAAAUGCAUUUUUACCUUACAUGUGCCUGAAGGCCAUCCACCUCUUUCUGAAGAGCCUUGUUAAUAUCCCAAGUUGCUCAUUUCACUGUUCUCUUGAUAGAUGGGGAAAUAAAAAAAGAAAAGUUGCCCAUUGUAAGUUAUUACAGGUUAAAUUAACAGUCUGCUUACCAGAAGGAAGGGCAUAUAGAGAAAUUCAAGUUUAAUUAAAAAAAAAAAAAGUGUUAUUUUGUAUAAAUGAGUAGAACAAAAGUUGAAUUAAGUUAUUAACAUUUUUUGGACCUGGUUAAUUAUGUCAGUGUAUAGCUGAAAAGCCAAUAAAUUAUUUAACUAAUAACUAAAAAUAGUAGUUGCAAACAUUUGAACCAUGCUUGGGGAAGUGACGUAAAAAUGCUGUUGAAAGCAAGCACUUCCACCCCAACGGACUUGUGUCUGAUUAGAAAGUUGGUUAAGCGGCUAGGUUUGUGUAUGCACCACCGGUUUCACCUCCUUUCCAUCUGUUUGAUACAGUAUUAUAGAUAUAUAUAUUUCUCUGUGGCCAUUUGUGAUAUGCCCUCCUCAUAUACUUGAAUAUUCUACUUCUUUAUUCACAGUAUCUGUGUCUCUUGCACCCUUUGGUGUUGCAAUUUUAGGUAUGUAAAAGUAGAUGUUAGCAGGGUUUUUUUCCCUACUCAUAAGAAUACAUUUAAAAAAGAUGAAAAUUUUAGCAUGAAGUUGCUUUCUGUAACAACUAAAAGCCGUGACCCUGUUUUAGUGCCAGAUGCAAGUCUCUUCUGUGAUGCUAGAAAAAGGAUUCUUUCCCUCUUCCCUUCCCUCCCUUUCUUCACAAAGGUAUGAUUUUUGUGGGGUCCAGACGUUUGUAAAAGGGUCUCCAAAGAUGGCUGUGUUUGGAUUCUGGAUUUUUAAAAAAUCCACAAUAGGAUUUUUUUCAUUCUUCCUUUUUUUUAAAAAAAACAAAACAAAACAAAACAAACCUCCUGUAGUAACAGUGAAUGUUACAUUUAUUUAUUUUUUUUUCUUUUGCUAAAGUUGAAACACAGAAAAAAGUACAUAAGAUGUUGUUUCCACUCCUUCAGUGAUGUCGUAUGUAUACAAUCAGGCACUCAGAUAACAGUGAUAAACACAACAGAGAUGCCUGUAAAUUAUAGUACAUGAAAAAAUAAACUGAGCUCCCUAGACUGGGUUGCCAUGGCAAUUCAUCAAUAAAUAGGGCUUAUUAAAAUCUAAGCAAAGUGGGAUUAUAUUGACUAUAAAAAGUAUAAGAAAAAGUGUGCAUAAAAGAUAAAGGGCAGAGAGAUAUAAACAACUGAUCUAACGGAGUUACCUGUGAGAACUCCAACACUAUCUUACGGACACAAAGAGAACACUGAAGGUGAUAUGGUAGUAUUACUCAUCAGCGGAUAAUAAUCUGCUGAUACUAUAUGUACAGUAGACAUUAUGAAAUGACCCGUUUACAUUCUUGCAGAUUGUUUGAUCUUUUCCUUUUAAAAUCUCUUAACUAAACUUUGCACUGUCAGUUGAGCUAUACUUGAUACAUGUAUUAGGUUAACAUUGUGUGUUGGAAGCUUAUGAUCUGUUCUUUUUCCUUCUUAAUUUGUAUGUGUGUGCGUGUGUGUUGGGGUUUGAUCUGAAAAGACUCAUAGAGAAGAUUUUUGUGUCUGUGGAGAAGUAUUCUCAUCAUUAAUAGCACAGGAUUCCCCAUCAUUAAAUUGAGGUAGUAAAUGCAGAGUUACUAGGCAGUAAAUAUUCAGCGGACCGAAGGGGGAUUUUGGCUGUCACAGCAGUACAAAGACAAAACAAAUAAAAAUUUUCCUGAAGAUGAAGUCCUAACAGCCCCACACAUGACAUUUCAGCUCUGCAAAAAGCUUUUCACACUAUAAAGUACCUAAUACUCUUUGUAAGUUGGUUGUUUUAUACAAAGGACAGUGAGUUUAGAAACAUGCUAAGUGCAUCUGGAGGAUUCUGAUUUCUGCCUUGUAUUUGUUAUACUUUUGCUUAGAGUAAUCCCAAUUCACAUGGAAACAGUAUCAAGUGAGGUGCAUUGAAAGCCUCUUCCCAUUUUUCCAGAAAAACAACAGAUAGAAAGAAAAAACAACAAAACAGCAUUUAUGUCACGUUGCUCUGAUCAUACUAUCAAUUAAUACAAAUUAGCCUUGCAGUCGGUUUUUUUUUAAUGCCUUUUGCCAGUGUGGGAGAGAGUCUAUGGUACUACUGAACCUCAGCUUCUCUGAAGCUGAACACCAACUAGUGAGAACAGUGUUAACCUGUGACUCGAGUGUUUUUUUAUUCUGCUUUUAAAAUUGACAUACUCUAGAAAAUGAAGCUUAGUUAAUCCACCUAUGAGUCCAGAGUUAGAGUGGUGUAACACACCAAGUCAUUUAUUUCAUGCAUUUAAAUGAACUUUCUUGUCUUGAUUCAAGCAAAGACCUUUGUAAUCGUAAUCAUCCUUCCAUAGAAAGAAUCCUAGAACGCUGUGGAGUUAUAGAUGAAAACAAAUCAAGAGUUUUGUGCUAUUAAA
This is a long non-coding RNA of Pterocles gutturalis (yellow-throated sandgrouse), 3340 nucleotides long. RefSeq lists it as uncharacterized. The transcript is spliced from 4 exons. Lineage: Eukaryota; Metazoa; Chordata; Aves; Pterocliformes; Pteroclidae. The record is from RefSeq and is a predicted model, not a curated record.